Molecule: long non-coding RNA, 175 nt
Organism: Lonchura striata (white-rumped munia)
Lineage: Eukaryota; Metazoa; Chordata; Aves; Passeriformes; Estrildidae
Source: RefSeq, a predicted model, not a curated record
GGUUUUACCUUCAGGAAGGGAUCCCCCAGCCAGUGUCAGUUCCCCAGGAUGGUGCUGCUCUGCUCAGAAAUGCCAGUAUUUCAGCUGGACAGAAGCAGAAUGUGGCUUUUUAUCAACAAGCAAAACUUUCCAGAUUUUUCUGUGAAGGAAAAGCCUAAAAAAUAUUUUGAAGUUG